GUGAGGAAUAUUGCGCAAUGGAGGCAACUCUGACGCAGCCAUGCCGCGUGCAGGAAGAAGGCGCUACGCGUUGUAAACUGCUUUUAACCGGGAAGAAACCCCAGGACGUGUCCUGGGUUGACGGUACCGGAGGAAUAAGCACCGGCUAACUUCGUGCCAGCAGCCGCGGUAAUACGAAGGGUGCAAGCGUUAUCCGGAUUCAUUGGGUUUAAAGGGUGCGUAGGCGGAGCGUUAAGUCAGUGGUGAAAUCCUGCAGCUUAACUGUAGACUUGCCAUUGAUACUGGCGCUGUUGAGUGCGGUUGAAGUGGGCGGAAUGUGCCGUGUAGCGGUGAAAUGCUUAGAUAUGGCACAGAACACCAAUUGCGAAGGCAGCUCACUAAGGCGAUACUGACGCUGAGGCACGAAAGCGUGGGGAUCGAACAGGAUUAGAAACCCCUGUAGUCC
This 445-nucleotide ribosomal RNA is filed under the name uncultured bacterium. RNAcentral describes it as "partial 16S ribosomal RNA". It matches the Rfam family "Bacterial small subunit ribosomal RNA", at positions 354 to 796 of the family's 1533-position model. The record is from RNAcentral.